CGCGGUUCGGACUCGGGGGCGCGGGGUGGGGCGGGGAUGGGGAUGCUGCCUCGCCCACCCCGCGGCGGACUUCAGUAAAUUCCGUUAGAAUCAGAAGAGAACGAACUUUUACGUAGAAGAAAAUGUCUUAAUUUUUGAAGCACGAUUGCCGUGCAAUAAACCACACAUGCUUGAAGUGUGCAACUUGAUGAGUUUGGCACAUAUGUGAAGUUUGACAUAUGCAGUCACGCGCCACAUAGGGACACUUUGGUCAACGAUGGACCACGUACACGACAGUGGUCCCAUAAGGAGCACUCGGUGAGGUCAGCAGGCACCGGAUCACAAGGGGCAUAGGCGGAGACACCUACUCAAGAGGAAGGGCUCCAGCUCCAUCCCAUGAAUCAGUGUACUCUGUGAGCAGAAGAGCAUCGCCAAGGAGGAAGAAAAGAUCCAUAAACAGCGGCAGCAGAAUCGACAGGGUCAUUCCGGGUGCAGGAGGACAGAUGGGGCUCCAGCAGGAGGACGACGUGCAUCGCCAGCCAGCCUGCCUGCCUCCCUCUGGAAAGAGGUGGAGGAAGAUUUGGGCCACAGAGAGGCCGGGGAGGAGGCCAUGGAGCAGAAGCUGGAUGCUGCAGCCCAAGCCAAGGAGCCCCCAGAAGCUGGAAGAGGUGCAGGCCCAUGCUGGGGGCUGGGAAGACAGGCCCAUCCUCAGGCCCUUGUUGGCCUGAGUCGCUCUGCCCACAUCAUCUCAAACACAAACGGACCCUCAUCAAUUGUAAGUUUUUUCUAAAAAAAAAAAAUUCUGAAUGGAUUUUUGUAGUUUUGAGACAGGAACCAUCGGUAAGGCCCUGGGCCUAACAAGAUAAGGCCCCUAACCAAUCAGGAAGCUAGGAGAAUCAGACCGAGGCCCCCAAGAUCCACAUCCCACGGCCUCCGGACUUCCCCCCGCUUACUCACGGCCCUAGCGCCUAGGAGUCCACUGAAGGUGACCCCCGCCGCGUUAGCAUAGUAAAAAUCACACCCAGGGUGGAGAGCUAGCGUGUUAAUGAUACAUGCGUCGCAUGAGGUGGCAUGCUACGUGAAAGCACAGGCACCUCUGCAUGCCGUGACAAGGGCCUCCUCCCCAGCCUUCGCCUCAUAAAAGCCCCACAAUCCCGCUCCCUCAUGAGCCAGUCACCUGCCCCUUUCCUUUCCGCCCCGGCUCCCCUCUGCCUCCCCUGUGCACAAGCUAAUCAACUUUUACUUUCUACUCCCCGCUUUGUUGUCGCUCUUGAUUUCUACCCUGGCGGACAAUAAGAACCCAAUGUGCCAGUAACAUCCUUGCCCUUGAAUUCCUUGGCUACCUGACUCUGCUUGGAUGACCUCGGAGAGGAUACCUAACUUCUCUGUGCCUCACUGGCUCAUCUGUAAAAGAGGGAUAACGGUGUUCCUAAGUCGCAGAAGUCAGUGUCGGCCUUUACAAAAGUCAUAAAACGACGACCAGCACAGAGUCAGUCCCACAUACAUUUGCUAAUUAAGAUAAAAUACCAGGAACCUGUACUUUCUGACUUCUUAUCUACUACCCAGCGUUCUCAGAAUUCUUGCUCCGUGAGAAAGUCUAACCCACAGAGUUCUCAAACGGACUGAAACUUUUACAAAUUCCAAAUAAAAAAUAAAGAUGACGUAACGUUA
This is a non-coding RNA of Equus caballus (horse), 1650 nucleotides long. Lineage: Eukaryota; Metazoa; Chordata; Mammalia; Perissodactyla; Equidae. The record is from RefSeq and is a predicted model, not a curated record.